AGGUGUGAUCAUACCAACACUAAUAUACCGGAUCCCAUCAGAACUCCGCAGUUAAGCGUGUCUGGGUGAGAGUAGUACUAGGAUGGGUGACCUCCUGGAAAGUCCUCGUGUUGCAUCCC
This is a ribosomal RNA of Quercus robur (English oak), 119 nucleotides long. The record is from RefSeq and is a predicted model, not a curated record. Lineage: Eukaryota; Viridiplantae; Streptophyta; Magnoliopsida; Fagales; Fagaceae.